This is a transfer RNA of Ipomoea nil (Japanese morning glory), 74 nucleotides long. It matches the Rfam family "tRNA". From Rfam's summary of the family: Transfer RNA (tRNA) molecules are approximately 80 nucleotides in length. Their secondary structure includes four short double-helical elements and three loops (D, anti-codon, and T loops). The record is from Rfam. Lineage: Eukaryota; Viridiplantae; Streptophyta; Magnoliopsida; Solanales; Convolvulaceae.
GCUCUUGUAGCUCAGUUGGUUAGAGCACUCGUUUAGUAAGCGGGAGGUCUUGAGUUCAACUCUCUGUAAGAGCA